UUGGAGGGCAAGUCUGGUGCCAGCAGCCGCGGUAAUUCCAGCUCCAAUAGCGUAUAUUAAAGUUGUUGCAGUUAAAAAGCUCGUAGUUGAAUUUCGGGGUCAGUAGGUUGGUCAUGCCACUGGUAUGUACUGGUCUCACUGAUUCCUCCUUCCUGAUGAACUGUAUGCCAUUAAUUUGGUGUUGCAGGGAAUCUGGACUGUUACUUUGAAAAAAUUAGAGUGUUUAAAGCAGGCUAACGCCUGAAUACAUUAGCAUGGAAUAAUGAAAUAGGACGUUCGAUCCUAUCUUGUUGGUUUCUAGGAUUGACGUAAUGAUUAAUAGGGAUAGUUGGGGGCAUUAGUAUUCAAUUGUCAGAGGUGAAAUUCUUGGAUUUAUUGAAGACUAACUACUGCGAAAGCAUUUGCCAAGGAUGUUUUCAUUAAUCAAGAACGAAAGUUAGGGGAUCGAAGACGAUCAGAUACCGUCGUAGUCUUAACCAUAAACUAUGCCGACUAGGGAUCGGAUGAUGUUAAUUUUUUAAUGACUCAUUCGGCGCCUUACGGGAAACCAAAGUGUUUGGGUUC
RNAcentral lists this ribosomal RNA (564 nucleotides) under uncultured Glomeromycotina. RNAcentral describes it as "SSU rRNA". It matches the Rfam family "Eukaryotic small subunit ribosomal RNA", at positions 548 to 1114 of the family's 1831-position model. The record is from RNAcentral. Lineage: Eukaryota; Fungi; Glomeromycota.